GAUGAACGCUGGCAGCGUGCCUAAUACAUGCAAGUCGAGCGAACGGACGAGAAGCUUGCUUCUCUGAUGUUAGCGGCGGACGGGUGAGUAACACGUGGAUAACCUACCUAUAAGACUGGGAUAACUUCGGGAAACCGGAGCUAAUACCGGAUAAUAUUUUGAACCGCAUGGUUCAAAAGUGAAAGACGGUCUUGCUGUCACUUAUAGAUGGAUCCGCGCUGCAUUAGCUAGUUGGUAAGGUAACGGCUUACCAAGGCAACGAUGCAUAGCCGACCUGAGAGGGUGAUCGGCCACACUGGAACUGAGACACGGUCCAGACUCCUACGGGAGGCAGCAGUAGGGAAUCUUCCGCAAUGGGCGAAAGCCUGACGGAGCAACGCCGCGUGAGUGAUGAAGGUCUUCGGAUCGUAAAACUCUGUUAUUAGGGAAGAACAUAUGUGUAAGUAACUGUGCACAUCUUGACGGUACCUAAUCAGAAAGCCACGGCUAACUACGUGCCAGCAGCCGCGGUAAUACGUAGGUGGCAAGCGUUAUCCGGAAUUAUUGGGCGUAAAGCGCGCGUAGGCGGUUUUUUAAGUCUGAUGUGAAAGCCCACGGCUCAACCGUGGAGGGUCAUUGGAAACUGGAAAACUUGAGUGCAGAAGAGGAAAGUGGAAUUCCAUGUGUAGCGGUGAAAUGCGCAGAGAUAUGGAGGAACACCAGUGGCGAAGGCGACUUUCUGGUCUGUAACUGACGCUGAUGUGCGAAAGCGUGGGGAUCAAACAGGAUUAGAUACCCUGGUAGUCCACGCCGUAAACGAUGAGUGCUAAGUGUUAGGGGGUUUCCGCCCCUUAGUGCUGCAGCUAACGCAUUAAGCACUCCGCCUGGGGAGUACGACCGCAAGGUUGAAACUCAAAGGAAUUGACGGGGACCCGCACAAGCGGUGGAGCAUGUGGUUUAAUUCGAAGCAACGCGAAGAACCUUACCAAAUCUUGACAUCCUUUGACAACUCUAGAGAUAGAGCUUUCCCCUUCGGGGGACAAAGUGACAGGUGGUGCAUGGUUGUCGUCAGCUCGUGUCGUGAGAUGUUGGGUUAAGUCCCGCAACGAGCGCAACCCUUAAGCUUAGUUGCCAUCAUUAAGUUGGGCACUCUAAGUUGACUGCCGGUGACAAACCGGAGGAAGGUGGGGAUGACGUCAAAUCAUCAUGCCCCUUAUGAUUUGGGCUACACACGUGCUACAAUGGACAAUACAAAGGGCAGCGAAACCGUGAGGUCAAGCAAAUCCCAUAAAGUUGUUCUCAGUUCGGAUUGUAGUCUGCAACUCGACUACAUGAAGCUGGAAUCGCUAGUAAUCGUAGAUCAGCAUGCUACGGUGAAUACGUUCCCGGGUCU
This 1372-nucleotide ribosomal RNA is filed under the name uncultured bacterium. RNAcentral describes it as "bacterial SSU rRNA". It matches the Rfam family "Bacterial small subunit ribosomal RNA", at positions 28 to 1381 of the family's 1533-position model. The record is from RNAcentral.